Molecule: non-coding RNA, 7602 nt
Organism: Marchantia paleacea
Lineage: Eukaryota; Viridiplantae; Streptophyta; Marchantiopsida; Marchantiales; Marchantiaceae
Source: the annotation of a GenBank genome assembly
AUUAAAAAUUUGAAAUCAAUAAAUUUUUGUUAUUAUUAAACAUCAAUCACAUAUUUUUAAUAUCAUAAUUUGUUCAUUGAAAGAAUGAUAUUUUUUAUUUAAAAAAGAUAUAUUUAACAACAAAUUUCCAUCAAUGUAAUUAAAAUUUUAUUUUUAAAUCACUUAAAGCUAGUUUCAAAGUUAGCAUUGAGUAAAAUUUGCAAAAAUUUAAAAUAAACUUAAUAUUUGAGUUUGUAUUUUAGAACUAUAGUUUUAUUUUCCAUUAAUUAAAAGAUUUAAUUAUUUAAAUGAUAAUCUAUUAUCAAAAUUCAAAAAUUUUUCUUCAUUCAUAAUUUUAAUUUUUAAAUAUUUUUUUCAUUGGAUAUUAUUAAUUUUAUAAGAGAUUUUAUGCUUGUGUUCACAAAUUAUAACAUGAAUUCUAUUCUUUCCCCAUUAUUUAUAUCAAUGUUGAGAUCAUAAUAUAUUAUUAUUUGUUAUCAAAACUUAUUUUUCAUAUAUUACUUGAAAGUAAUAAAAAUAUAAUCAAUUUGAUAAAAGUUAUAUAAGAUGGAAGUCAUUAUAAAACAUAAAAGUUUCCAAUGUGCAAGUUCAACUAAACAAGAUUAUAGAAAAGUAGUGUCAAAAUAAUUUCAUCAAAUAUGAAGUUAAAUAAGAAAUUCAACAAUUCUUUAAACUAAAUUAUAAUUUAUUUGUUUAUUAUUCUUAUUCCAAGAAUAUUGAUAUUUUGAAAGACAUAUUUCUGAAAAUAUAUCAUCUUUAUAUGUAAAUUUUGUUUGUUAAUAUUUAUAACUUUUCACAUAUAUAUUCAAAUGAAAAAGCUUUAUUCUACAUUAAAUUUAUAAAUAAAUUUAAAAUUGAAUGGAAAAAAAACUCACUUAUUGAUAUAGCAAUACAUACCUAUCAAAAAGUAAAAAAGAAUAUCAAAAAUUCAAAAUUUUGUUUUAAUUUUAAAAUAUAUAUUUUUUAAUAUUGUAUAAAUAUUAAAAAUAAAAAAAAUCAUAAUUAUUAAACAUAUUAUGUUAAUCAAAUUUGGAUGGAUUUUUUUUAUAUAUGAACAAUAUGAUGAUUUAUUCAAAAAAUAAAUGAAUUUUAAUGCUACAAACGAUAAUUGAAAAUUGAAUGUCCAUAUUAGUGAUGAGAACUGUAAGUAAAUCAUGUUGAGCAAAAAUCGCAUGCAUAUAAAUGCUUCUAGUAGCAUAGUUCUUAAGAUAAGUAGAAAUUUUUUUGGUUUUCGUUAGUAAAGAGCUAUAUUCGGGUUCUAAUGUGGGUAUUCGUCCGAAUAUAAGUUAGUAAGUUACACAUGAAUACCACUAGUGAGUUCACACGAGUGAAUUGAGAGGGAUUUAGGUUGUGCAAUCGGUCGACGGAUUGAAGCAGCUUGACUUUAAUCAAGAAUUUCAAGAUGUUUUACUCGUUUAAACAUCAUAAAUCAAAUAAAAUUUUCAUUCAUAAGUCACAUUUAAUCAUGUAUUUGAUCAGAUCAAAUUUUUUUUAUGAGUUUUGAUUAAAUUUUGUUGAAUAAAAAAAAAUAUUUUUUUUCAAUUAGAGUUUCCAAAUACUAAUUCUAUUUAUUUAUGCAUAAAUACAAAUAUCUUUUGGUGAAAUUUUAUGUUGUGUGAAAGUUCAAAAGAUUUAAAGUCCAAAAUGAAUAAAUUUUCAUCUUAAGGUUGAUAUAAUAUUGAAAUUGAAUGAGGUUCACAUAGAUUAACAAAUAUGAUGAAAUCAAAACAAGCCAUUUUAAUUCAUUGGCUAAUUCAUAAUUUUUAAAAAUUCAUCAAUUAUGAAUAUAUAUAUAAAAAUAUAUUAAAAGAAUAAUAUUUUAAGAUUAUGAAAAAUCUGAUUUUUUAUAUAUUUUUAAAUAUAAUUUUUAAUUUAUUUAUAUUUUGAUAAAUAUAAAUAAUUUAUAUUUAACAUAUAUAUAUAUAUGUAACAUUGAAUAAAAUAAAAAAAUAUUUUUUUCAAAUAUUUAUAACUAUUUUUUUGAAAAUAAUUUAAUUUAUAUAUUCAAAUAAUUAUUAUUUGAAUUUAAAAUUUGUUUGAAAUUAAACAUAUCAAUUAAUUUGGAUUUCUAAAUGAAUUUAGAUUUAAAAUUUAUGCAUCAUUCAUAUUUUGAAAUUAUUAUUUUUAAUUUUUAACAUUCAUACAUCGUGAAUUCUCUUUCAAAAUAGGAUUUAGAAUUUUGAUUCACUAUGCAAUUGCACUAUUUCAUAUCAAAAGAUAUUAUGCAAGUUUGAUAUAAGGACAAUUAAUAUGUCAAAAUUUCAAACAAAAUUUUGAGAAAAAAUGCAAGCAAAACAUCUCAAAAAUACUUGAUAUUAUACUUCAAUCCACCAUUUUCUAUUAAAAAUUUAUUUAUUUAUUCAUGAUAAAAUAAAAUAAAUUUUAUAUUGUAUUAAAUGGCGAGCAAACCGGGAGAAGCCCAGCUUGAAAAUCGUGUCGCUUCACUGGGCGAAUUGUAGUAUGGAGAAGCGUCCUCUACUGCGGACUUGGCCCAAGUCCCAUGGAAAGGGUCGGAGAGGGUGAGAACCAUAUCGGGCCGAGACCUUGCAGUUCCACGAGGCGCUAUUAACGAGUCAAACUGUUUGGAAAUGCAUCCCUAAGCUAGAGGUAAAUUCCUUCCAAGGCUAAAUAUUGGCGGGAGACCAAUAGCGAACAUGUACCUCGAGGGAAAGAUGAAAAUGACUUUGAAAAGAGAGUUAAAAAUUGCUUGAAAUUACUGGGAGGUAAGCAAAUGGAGGCCUCGUGUGCGCCCUAGUCAGAUGCAAAAUGGCGUGAAGCUGGUCCGCUGCUUGACGCGGGGUGCUGGUCAGCGUGGGCUAUUACGGAGGAAGAAAUGUCGGCCUUUAGUGGCCGGCCGCUGCCAUCAAGAUGAUAGAGGAAUUGAAGCGGGCAUUCCUCGGGGGCCACCAGUGCACUCGAGAUGUUGACGUAGUGGACUUUUCAUCCGACCCAUCUUGAAACUCGGACCAAGGAGUCUAACAUGCAUGCAAACCAAUGGGCGGCAAACCCACGUGACGCACAAAUAACUUAACUGGUGUGAUCCUCCUCUGUGGGAUGCAACAUUGACCGACCAUGAGCUUAUGCGAAAGAUUCGAGUAAGAGCAUGCAUGUUGGGAUCCGAAAGAUGGUGAACUAUGCAUAACCAUGGUGAAGUCAGAGGAAACUUUGGUGGAGGCUUGUAGCAAUACUGACAUGCAAAUUGUUUGUCAGACUUGGGUAUAGGGACGAAAGACUAAUCAAACCAUCUAGUAGCUGGUUCCCUUGGGAAGUUUCCCUCAGGAUAGUUGGAGCACGAGGAGAUUCAUCAGGUAAAGCAAAUGAUUAGAGGCAUCGGGAAUGAAACACCCUCGACCUAUUUUUAAACUUUAAAUAGUUGAGAUCCGACGAGGUUGCUUAAUUGAACCCCCCACGGAGAAUCCGAUGAUCAUGACAAUGACAAUGAUCAUGGAAGUCGAAAUCCACUAAGGAGUGUGUAACAACUCAUAUGACGAAUCGAUUAGCCCCGAAAAUGGAUGGUACUGAAACGCGAGGCAUACACUCGGCCAUCGUGGGCAAUUUUGUAAAGCCCCAAUGAGUAGGAGGGCGCGGGGAUCAUGGCGCAGCCUCGGGCCCGAGUACUGAAAUGGCCCCUGUGCAGAUCUUGGUGGUAGUAACAAAUAUUCAAAUUACAACUUUGAAGACUGAAGUGGAGAAAGGUUAUGUGUGAACAUCAAUUGGACACGGAUUAGUUGAUCCUAAGAGAUGGGAAAAUCUUGUGUCAAAGACGCAAUGUGCGCCGUGCAUCGAAAAGGGAUCGGAUCAAUAUUCUUGAACCAAGACGUGGGAGUGGACGGCGACGCCACCAAAACUUGAGACACCGGCGGGAGCCACGAGAAGAGUUUUCUUUUCUUUCUGACGACCCGCCCGCCCUGAAAUCGCAUUACGUGGAGAUAAGACCUAGCGGUCGGCAAAACAUCUCAUGUCUUGCGAUGUCCGUGCGUCCCUGACGUCCUUGAAAAUCCAGAGGAGCAAGUAUGCUCGGUCGUACUCAUAACCUCAUCAGGUCUCCAAGGUGAACAUCCUUUAAUCGAUAGAAUAAUGAAGGUAAGGCAAAACAGGUCUGUAACUUCGAGAAAAGGAUUGGCUCUGAGGGUCGGGUUCUAGGGUCUGCAUCUAGACCUUGCCGGACUAUCGAUGGUCUGCAUGAGUUGCUCGCACGGCAAGGGACAGUUGCAUGCUUGUCAAGAGAAGGACGUAGAAUGUCAGAUGUCUCUCCUCUCUCCUCCACCUUUGCGGGAUGGGGGGCGAGGGCUCGACUUUCCUUGGAUAGUGAACGACCAACUUAGAACUAAUACGAACAAGGGGAAUCCGACUGUUUAAUUAAAACAAAACAUUACGAUGCUCCUCAUGGAUGUUGACGCAAUGUGAUUUCUGCCCAGUUUUCUGAAUGUCAAAGUGGAAGAAAUUCAACCAAGCGCGGAUAAACGGCGGGAGUAACUAUGACUCUCUUAAGGUAGCCAAAUGCCUCGUCAUCUAAUUAGUGACACGCAUGAAUGGAUUAACGAGAUUCCCACAAUCCCUAUUUACUAUAUAGCGAAAACACAGCCAAGGAAACAUGCUUGGAAAUAUCAGCGGGGAAGAAAACCUUGUUGAGUUUGACUCUAGUCCGACUUUGUGAAAUGAAUCAAGAGGUGUAGAAUAAGUGGGAGGUCCAUGAGGGCCGCAAGUGAAAUACCACUACUUUUGACAUUAUUUUAUUUAUUCCAUGAGGUGGGGACGGGCCUAUGGUCACUCUUUUGGCCUUAAGCGUCCCGGCAACAGGGCGCGAUCCAAGUGGAAGACAUUGUCAGGUGGGAAGUUUGGAUGGGGCAGCACAUCUGUUAAAAGAUAACCCAAGUGUCCUAAGAUGAGCUCAACGAGAAUAAAAAUCUCGUGUAAAACAAAGGGUAAAAGCUCAUUUGAUUUUGAUUUUCAGUACGAAUACAAACUAUGAAAGCAUGGCAUAUCGAUCCCUUAGUCUUUCGGAAUUUGAAGUUAGAGGUGUUAGAAAAGUUACCACAGGAAUAAUUGGCUUGUGGCAGUCAAGCGUUCAUAGCGACGUUGCUUUUUGAUCCUUUGAUUUCGGCUCUUUCUAUCAUUGUGAAGCAGAAUUCACCAAGUGUGGGAUUGUUCACUUGCCAAUAGGAAACAUGAGCUGGGUUUAAACCGUCGUGCGACAUGUUAGUUUUACCCUACUGUUGACUCGGCACUGCAAUAGUAAUUUUGAUCCUUUGAUUUCGGCUCUUUCUAUCAUUGUGAAGCAGAAUUCACCAAGUGUGGGAUUGUUCACUUGGCAAUAGGAAACGUGAGCUGGGUUUAAACCGUCGUGCGACAUGUUAGUUUUACCCUACUGUUGACUCGGCACUGCAAUAGUAAUUCAACUUAGUACGAGAGGAAUCGUUGAUUCGAAUAAUUGGUAAUUCGGUUUGGUUAAAAAGCCAAUGACGUGAAGCUACCAUGCAUAGGAUUAUGACUAAACGCCUCUAAGUCAGAAUCCAUGCUAGAAGCGGCGCUUUCUAUCUCCCCGGUUUUCACCGAGUACUGGUAGGGGCGGCUCGUUCGUCCCCAAAAGCAUGUGUUGAGAGUUUCCUUGGGCCGACGGAAGAAGUCGGCUCAGAUGCUUUGAAUCGUAAUUCCAAAUAAUCAGGGAGAUGAAUCCUUUGCAGAUGACUUAAAUACGGGAUUAGGUAUUAUAAGUGGCAGAGUAGCCUUGCUGCAAUGAUCCGCUGAGAUUCAGCCUCAUGUCCCAAAGAUUUGUUUCCUUCUUUCUUCUUUUCUUUCUUCAUUUCUUUGUCUCAGAUGGGAUCAAGCCACUGGUUCGAGAUACUGACCUGAAUGAUCGUAUCUCGCUAUGACUACACGUUCCCGCACUAACUACUCUCCACCAUAGCCACACUCUCCAAGGCUCAACUUUGAAAACUGCACCGCAAGGAGCCCUAAUUUGAAUUCUAUCCCUUGAACCUUAUGUCUCCUAACAGCGUUGUUGGUCCUAAUGGUAGUUCCAGUGCAAAUGACGUUAACUACACAAUCGGCUCUAAUUGUUGUAUCUGCUCUGCAUGCGCACACAUACCUAACUAGGAAUGCCACUUCAUAAGUCGUGAUAGCUAUUGUGCACAUACAUAUCGCAUCAAAAUGUAUAUCGUUGUCACAUCAAACAUCACACUACAUAGAUCAUCAUACAUCAACACAAAUGUAUCACAAUCGUCCCCCUAACUAGCGGUUAGAUCCCUCUAACACUAGGUAGCCAUCUAGUCCAUAACAUGAUAUGACCUUUGUGCUACAAUGCCCCAUUGUUAGUUGCAUAUCUGUAAUCUAUACCAUGUUACGGUCAAACCAGCUUGCAUGUUAAUCGCAUUGAGGACAUCUUUACCGUCCACUGGGCACCACAUUGAGAGGAGGUGUCAAACAUGAAUGCCAUACUCUUGAACAAGAAUCACAAAUCAACAUACUGGCUGCUCCACUAACAAAUCCACAUAACAUACAUCUCAAGCCUGCCCGUAUUGGAUUCAUAAUACCAUAAAUGUUUGGAAGGUGACAUGGCGCACAAUUACACACAUGAUACUUCCAAAUCACACCAUCACGACCCUCUAAUACCAAAACUCAUGAAGAUAGAACCUCACAAAGUUGUAGAUAUCCCAAGAUAGCUAUGAGUAUUGAACCACUUCAUCAAUUUUUAGCCGGUGUUUUCCGCCCUCCAAAAUUCUUUGAUUCGGAUUUAAGCACUAAAAUAAAAAAAACAGAUAUUCAAAAUUGAUCACACCAACUUUGAAUUGAAUCUACUUUCAGAUCACCACCAUAGUCUUCACUCCAUCAACGCCAUGCCCACUCUACAGAAAAAAAGAUCGAAGAUACCAUAUAUCAAAACUCGCUAGAAUACUUCAAUGCUCCAAGAACUCACACCUUUCAUAACAAAAUUAAAAUUAAAUCUCUUCCACUCUCAAAACGUCCACAAGUUCACUCCACUCAUAACCAUAUCACAAAAAAGAGAUUACAAUUGAACCAAACCCACUUGUGCUUCAAAAACUCCAAGUUCUUGCACUAGCUACUAUCCACUAUAGCCACACUCUCAAAGGCUUAAUUUAGAAAACUGCAUCCUAAUAAGUCCUAAUUUGAACUUUACCCCUUGAGCCCUAGGUCUCACAAUGGAGCUGUAGGCCCAAACGGUAGAUCGAGUGCGAACGGCACUAAUUGCACUAUCGGCUCUAAGUGUUGUAUAUCCUUAUGCAUGCGAGCGCACCUAUCUAACUAGGGAUGCCGCUACAUAAGUUGUGACAUAGGUUAUCACCCACGCUAAAUUAACCAUUUACAUUACUAUCUAAAAUAUAAAUCAAAGAAAUACACUCCUGAUGUAUUAUGCAUAGGAACUGUAUUUGACCAUUAAAUGUAAUAAUAUGAAAAUAAUGUUAUGUCAAAAUAUCUUUUCCAAAUGAAAUAAAGACCCAACCUUGAAAUUUCUAAUCUUCUUGUUGCUAGAACCUACUCUUUUGUGUUCAUUAACAGUGAGUACUCAAAUCUUUUCGGAAUGUUUCACACCAACACUAAUGAUAAUAAAAGUAAAAUCUUAGAAUGUUCUUUGUAAUUUGU